GGGCGCAGCUGAUCAGCCAUGCCGCGUGAGUGAUGAAGGUCUUCGGAUUGUAAAGCUCUUUUGGCGGGGACGAUAAUAACGGUACCCGCAGAAUAAGCCCCGGCUAACUUCGUGCCAGCAGCCGCGGUAAUACGAAGGGGGCUAGCGUUGCUCGGAAUCACUGGGCGUAAAGCGCACGUAGGCGGGCUUUUAAGUCGGAGGUGAAAUCCCAGGGCUCAACCCUGGAACUGCCUUCGAUACUGAAAGUCUUGAGUCCGGAAGAGGUGAGUGGAACUCCGAGUGUAGAGGUGAAAUUCGUAGAUAUUCGGAAGAACACCAGUGGCGAAGGCGGCUCACUGGUCCGGUACUGCCGCUGACGUGCGGAAGCGUGGGGAGCAAACAGGA
Molecule: ribosomal RNA, 384 nt
Filed under: uncultured archaeon
Lineage: Archaea
Description: bacterial SSU rRNA
Rfam family: Bacterial small subunit ribosomal RNA
Source: RNAcentral